AGGACGAACGCUGGCGGCGUGCUUAACACAUGCAAGUCGAACGAGGCGCUUGCGCCUAGUGGCGAACGGGUGAGUAACACGUGAGCAACCUGCCCUUGGCUCUGGGAUAGCCUCCGGAAACGGGGAUUAAUACCAGAUACGACCACUUUAGACAUCUGUCGUGGUGGAAAGGAUUCCGGCUAGGGAUGGGCUCGCGGCCUAUCAGCUUGUGGUGGGUAACGGCCUACCAAGGCGACGACGGGUA
RNAcentral lists this ribosomal RNA (244 nucleotides) under uncultured bacterium. RNAcentral describes it as "partial small subunit ribosomal RNA". It matches the Rfam family "Bacterial small subunit ribosomal RNA", at positions 26 to 285 of the family's 1533-position model. The record is from RNAcentral.